Oncorhynchus keta (chum salmon) is the source of this 490-nucleotide long non-coding RNA. RefSeq lists it as uncharacterized. The transcript is spliced from 3 exons. The record is from RefSeq and is a predicted model, not a curated record. NCBI's taxonomy places the organism in Eukaryota, Metazoa, Chordata, Actinopteri, Salmoniformes, Salmonidae.
UCAGUACAAGCACAGAGAAGCCCACACUGGUGGAGAGGAUAACUGAUGCUGUGAAGUCCUACAUCUACAUACCAGAGGAAGUUUUCCGGUUUCCCCUGAAGCUGGCGAUAUCUGGAGUAGUGUCAUUUACCGCUCUUUACCAGAUGGCUUUGGUGUUUGUGACCAGCGUGGUGCCGACGCUCCAGAUUGUCCGUCAAGGCAUCAACGAAGAUAUCGCCUUCCUAUUGGCCGGUUUCAACAUCAUAUUAUCAGAGGACAGGGCCGAAGUGGUCCGGAUAGUGGUCUACUACAUGUGGUGUGUAGAAGGUGAGUUAGGGUAGUGGUCUACUACAUGUGGUGUGUAGAAGGUGAGUUAGGGUAGUGGUCUACUACAUGUGGUGUGUAGAAGGUGAGUUAGGGUAGUGGUCUACUACAUGUGGUGUGUAGAAGGUGAGUUAGGGUAGUGGUCUACUACAUGUGGUGUGUAGAAGGUGAGUUAGGGUAGUGGUCU